CGAUGAUCGGUACGGGUUGUGAGAGCAAGGGCCCGGAGAUGGAACCUGAGACAAGGUUCCAGACCCUACGGGGUGCAGCAGGCGCGAAACCUCCGCAAUGUACGAAAGUGCGACGGGGGGAUCCCAAGUGUUAUGCUUUUUUGUAUGACUUUUCAUUAGUGUAAAAAGCUUUUAGAAUAAGAGCUGGGCAAGACCGGUGCCAGCCGCCGCGGUAACACCGGCAGCUCGAGUGGUAGCUGUUUUUAUUGGGCCUAAAGCGUUCGUAGCCGGUUUGAUAAGUCUUUGGUGAAAGCUUGUAGCUUAACUAUAAGAAUUGCUGGAGAUACUAUUAGACUUGAAGUCGGGAGAGGUUAGAGGUACUACCGGGGUAGGGGUGAAAUCCUAUAAUCCUGGGAGGACCACCUGUGGCGAAGGCGUCUAACUGGAACGAUCUUGACGGUGAGUAACGAAAGCCAGGGGCGCGAACCGGAUUAGAUACCCGGGUAGUCCUGGCCGUAAACGAUGUGGACUUGGUGUUGGAAUGGCUUUGAGUUGUUCCGGUGCCGAAGGGAAGCUGUUAAGUCCACCGCCUGGGAAGUACGGUCGCAAGACUGAAACUUAA
This 601-nucleotide ribosomal RNA is filed under the name uncultured archaeon. RNAcentral describes it as "bacterial SSU rRNA". It matches the Rfam family "Archaeal small subunit ribosomal RNA", at positions 258 to 859 of the family's 1478-position model. The record is from RNAcentral.